AAUGAACGCUGGCGGCGUGCCUAAUACAUGCAAGUCGAACGAACAGAUGAGGAGCUUGCUCCUCUGACGUUAGCGGCGGACGGGUGAGUAACACGUGGAUAACCUACCUAUAAGACUGGGAUAACUUCGGCAAACCGGAGCUAAUACCGGAUAAUAUAUUGAACCUCAUGGUUCAAUAGUUAAAGACGGUUUUGCUGUCACUUAUAGAUGGAUCCGCGCCGCAUUAGCUAGUUGGUAAGGUAACGGCUUACCAAGGCGACGAGGCGUAGCCGACCUGAGAGGGUGAUCGGACACACUGGAACUGAGACACGGUCCAGACUCUUACGGGAGGCAGCAGUAGGGAAUCUUCCGCAAUGGGCGAAAGCCUGACGGAGCAACGCCGCGUGAGUGAUGAAGGUCUUCGGAUCGUAAAACUCUGUUAUUAGGGAAGAACAAAUGUGUAAGUAACUAUGCACGUCUUGACGGUACCUAAUCAGAAAGCCACGGCUAACUACGUG
This 497-nucleotide ribosomal RNA is filed under the name uncultured bacterium. RNAcentral's name for it is "partial 16S ribosomal RNA". It matches the Rfam family "Bacterial small subunit ribosomal RNA", at positions 29 to 507 of the family's 1533-position model. The record is from RNAcentral.